Molecule: long non-coding RNA, 761 nt
Organism: Gekko japonicus
Lineage: Eukaryota; Metazoa; Chordata; Lepidosauria; Squamata; Gekkonidae
Exons: 3
Source: RefSeq, a predicted model, not a curated record
GGCUUAAAAAACUGUGAGCUGGCUCACACUCGCUCAGCUUAGAGGGAACACCGCUCUGGAUACCACCCUUGACGUUGGUUCUGGCAGCGUUUUGAUUCGUGUAAAAGGGCUGCUGUUGGUGUGUGUCGUCCCCCGUCCCCCCCUUCUUGAAUAAUGUGCAGAAUGAAUACACGCAGCUAUGCACGGCCGGGAGAUGUUUUGAAGGCUAGCGCUCAUAUGAGAUCAUAAUCGUAAUCUAUGUCGCUGUGGAUCCUUCACUAAAUAUCGAACCAUUUGUGGGGUCGUUUGAAGGGGCUAUUUUCUUUCUUAGAUAUGUUUGGAAGUGCCUGGCCUGAUUUGCACCACUUCACAAGUGACUUUGCCGGGGGCAGUGGUGAUACUCACUAGCAACUUGGCAGGAGCUGCUCCUGGCACUGUUGGAGAACCGCAGAGGCCUCUGCAAUAAUGUCGAGGCACAUCAUCUUAUUUUGCAUGGAACUCAGCCAAAUCAGAAGCAGCCAUCUAUGCGGUGCUUAGCAGCAUCGGAACUGCCGCUUCAGACUUGGCCAAGCAUCCUGGUUUGCAAAUACUCCUCAAACCAAGGUUCCACAUACUGAGAGUGGCUUCCCCUUUACCACGUUUUAGCAUGUUAGCUAUUGUUAAACUUUACAUUUGCUGAAGUAAAGCAAAUUCAUUUGUCCCUCUAUGUUUUUACCCACAUCCAGGGCUUUUUGUGUAGAAAAAGCCCAGCAGGAACUCAUUAGCAUAAUAGGCCAUACCCA